Molecule: ribosomal RNA, 254 nt
Filed under: uncultured bacterium
Lineage: Bacteria
Description: partial 16S ribosomal RNA
Rfam family: Bacterial small subunit ribosomal RNA
Source: RNAcentral
UACGGGGGGAGCAAGCGUUGUUCGGAUUUACUGGGCGUAAAGGGCGCGGAGGCGGCCAGCGCAAGUCAGUUGUGAAAUCUCCGGGCUUAACUCGGAACGGUCAACUGAUACUGCGCGGCUAGAGUGCAGAAGGGGCAACUGGAAUUCUCGGUGUAGCGGUGAAAUGCGUAGAUAUCGAGAGGAACACCUGCGGCGAAGGCGGGUUGCUGGGCUGACACUGACGCUGAGGCGCGAAAGCUAGGGGAGCGAACGGG